GGGGSGGKGCCWAAWAMAUGCAGUCGAGCGAAUGGAUUAAGAGCUUGCUCUUAUGAAGUUAGCGGCGGMCKUGGUGAGUAACACGUGGGUAACCUGCCCAUAAGACUGGGAUWACUCCGGGAAACCGGGGCUAAUACCGGAUAACAUUUUGAACCGCAUGGUUCGAAAUUGAAAGGCGGCUUCSGCUGUCACUUAUGGAUGGACCCGCGUCGCAUUAGCUAGUUGGKGAGGUAACGGCUCACCAAGGCAACGAUGCGUAGCCGACCUGAGAGGGUGAUCGGCCACACUGGGACUGAGACACGGCCCAGACUCCUACGGGAGGCAGCAGUAGGGAAUCUUCCGCAAUGGACGAAAGUCUGACGGAGCAACGCCGCGUGAGUGAUGAAGGCUUUCGGGUCGUAAAACUCUGUUGUUAGGGAAGAACAAGUGCUAGUUGAAUAAGCUGGCACCUUGACGGUACCUAACCAGAAAGCCACGGSUAACUACGUGCCAGCAGCCGCGGUAAUACGUAGGYGGCAAGCGUUAUCCGGAAUUAUUGGGCGYAAAGCGCGCGCAGGUGGUUUCUUAAGUYUGAUGUGAAAGCCCACGGCUCAACCGUGGAGGGYCAUUGGAAACUGGGAGACUUGAGKGCAGAASAGGAAAGUGGAAUUCCAUGYGUASCGGUGAAAUGCGUAGAGAUAUGGAGGAACACCAGUGGCGAAGGYGACUUUCUGGUCUGUAACUGACACUGAGGCGCGAAAGCSYGGGGAGCAAACAGGAUUAGAUACCCCUGGUAAA
Molecule: ribosomal RNA, 777 nt
Filed under: Bacillus paranthracis
Lineage: Bacteria; Bacillati; Bacillota; Bacilli; Caryophanales; Bacillaceae
Description: partial 16S ribosomal RNA
Source: RNAcentral